This 82-nucleotide transfer RNA is filed under the name Weissella confusa. RNAcentral describes it as "tRNA-Asp". The stretch from base 23 to 74 matches the Rfam family "tRNA", at positions 7 to 64 of the family's 71-position model. Rfam says of the family: Transfer RNA (tRNA) molecules are approximately 80 nucleotides in length. Their secondary structure includes four short double-helical elements and three loops (D, anti-codon, and T loops). The record is from RNAcentral. Lineage: Bacteria; Bacillati; Bacillota; Bacilli; Lactobacillales; Lactobacillaceae.
GACUCAAAAUCCAGUUCCCGCAAUGGUUAGGACGUUCGCCUGUCACGCGAAAGAUCACGGGUUCGAAUCCCGUUGUGAGUUG